GGGAUUGCCCUAGUAACGGCGAGUGAAGCGGCAACAGCUCAAAUUUGAAAUCUGGCCCUAGCGGUCCGAGUUGUAAUUUGCAGAGGAUGCUUUUGGCGCGGUGCCUUCUGAGUUCCCUGGAACGGGACGCCAGAGAGGGUGAGAGCCCCGUACGGUUGGACACCUAGCCUAUAUAUAGCUCCUUCGACGAGUCGAGUAGUUUGGGAAUGCUGCUCUAAGCGGGAGGUAAAUUUCUUCUAAAGCUAAAUACCGGCCAGAGACCGAUAGCGCACAAGUAGAGUGAUCGAAAGAUGAAAAGCACUUUGAAAAGAGGGUUAAAUAGCACGUGAAAUUGUUGAAAGGGAAGCGUUUGCGACCAGACCUUUUCUAGGGGGAUCAUCUGGUGUUCUCACCGGUGCACUCCCCGUAGUUUAGGCCAGCAUCGGUUUUCUUAGGGGGAUAAAGGCCUGGGGAACGUAGCUCUUUAGGGAGUGUUAUAGCCCCUGGCAUAAUACCCCUCGGGGGACCGAGGACCGCGCUUCGGCAAGGAUGCUGGCGUAAUGGUCGUCAACGACCCGUCUUGAAACACGGACCAAGGAGUCGAACAUUUAUGCGAGUGUUUGGGUGUUAAACCCUCACGCGUAAUGAAAGUGAACGGAGGUGAGAGCCCUUACGGGCGCAUCAUCGACCGAUCCUGAUGUCUUCGGAUGGAUUUGAGUAAGAGCAUAACUGUUCGGACCCGAAAGAUGGUGAACUAUGCGUGGAUAGGGUGAAGCCAGAGGAAACUCUGGUGGAGGCUCGCAGCGGUUCUGACGUGCAAAUCGAUCGUCAAAUCUGCGCAUGGGGGCGAAGACUUAUCGAACCAUCUAGUAGCUGGUUACCG
RNAcentral lists this ribosomal RNA (862 nucleotides) under Hypoxylon sp. RNAcentral's name for it is "partial large subunit ribosomal RNA". It matches the Rfam family "Eukaryotic large subunit ribosomal RNA", at positions 71 to 960 of the family's 3401-position model. The record is from RNAcentral. Lineage: Eukaryota; Fungi; Ascomycota; Sordariomycetes; Xylariales; Hypoxylaceae.